RNAcentral lists this unclassified non-coding RNA (413 nucleotides) under Hevea brasiliensis (rubber tree). Lineage: Eukaryota; Viridiplantae; Streptophyta; Magnoliopsida; Malpighiales; Euphorbiaceae. The record is from RNAcentral.
GCCCAUACUUUGCAGAAACUCAUGAUUGAAGUAGAUUAAAUCCACUUCUUGAAGCUCAUUUCUGGCAAACGCAAGGCCAUACUCGUAGGCCAGUGAGGGCUCAAGGCCACUUCUUGAUAACCAAGAGAACCAAUCCAUGGGUAGUCUUGAUUGUGCCAUAUGAUACAAGAAAACAAGACGGUCAUGUGCUAAUGAUACGAGAUAUGCUUUUCAUGUGAGGUGGUCCUUGGACUUAUACAUAACAUGGAGACAAGGAGAGAGAAGAGUAAGUAAAUGUGGUCAGGUAAAUUGAAAUUGAAAGUAUUAUAUUUUAAUUGAAUUUGUAUGGUAGUUGUGAUUGGGAGUGGCAACAACAAAUAUGGACGUUGAGGUCGGUAACUUCCGUACCUCAUGCCCAAUAAUUAGGUUUUAAU